RNAcentral lists this ribosomal RNA (316 nucleotides) under Vibrio parahaemolyticus. RNAcentral describes it as "bacterial SSU rRNA". It matches the Rfam family "Bacterial small subunit ribosomal RNA", at positions 1 to 303 of the family's 1533-position model. Lineage: Bacteria; Pseudomonadati; Pseudomonadota; Gammaproteobacteria; Vibrionales; Vibrionaceae. The record is from RNAcentral.
AAAUUGAAGAGUUUGAUCAUGGCUCAGAUUGAACGCUGGCGGCAGGCCUAACACAUGCAAGUCGAGCGGAAACGAGUUGUCAGAACCUUCGGGGAACGAUAACGGCGUCGAGCGGCGGACGGGUGAGUAAUGCCUAGGAAAUUGCCCUGAUGUGGGGGAUAACCAUUGGAAACGAUGGCUAAUACCGCAUGAUGCCUACGGGCCAAAGAGGGGGACCUUCGGGCCUCUCGCGUCAGGAUAUGCCUAGGUGGGAUUAGCUAGUUGGUGAGGUAAGGGCUCACCAAGGCGACGAUCCCUAGCUGGUCUGAGAGGAUGA